UUUUCUAUAGUGUAAUUUAACACAUAACAUUUUCAUUGUUAUAAUAGAUCAUUUCUUAGAAACA
This 64-nucleotide transfer RNA is filed under the name Chaleponcus netus. Its description in RNAcentral is "tRNA-Glu". Lineage: Eukaryota; Metazoa; Arthropoda; Diplopoda; Spirostreptida; Odontopygidae. The record is from RNAcentral.